This is a microRNA precursor of Pelodiscus sinensis (Chinese soft-shelled turtle), 111 nucleotides long. The record is from Ensembl. NCBI's taxonomy places the organism in Eukaryota, Metazoa, Chordata, Testudines, Trionychidae.
AUCGCCACACCUAAAGGAUCCUCAUUAAGGUGGGUGGAAUAGUAUAACAAUAUGCUAAAUGUUGUUAUAGUAUCCCACCUACCCUGAUGUAUCUUUACUAAUGUCUAUGGU